CCUACGGUGGGCAGCAGUGAGGAAUAUUGGUCAAUGGGCGGGAGCCUGACCCAGCCACGUCGCGUGAGGGAAGACGGUCCUACGGAUUGUAAACCUCUUUUGCCGGGGAGCAACGGGGUCCUUGCGAGGGCCCGAUGAGAGUACCCGGAGAAAAAGCAUCGGCUAAAUACGUGACAGCAGCCGCGGUAAUACGGAGGAUGCGAGCGUUAUCCGGAUUUAUUGGGGUUAAAGAGUGCGUAGGCGGGCUGGUAAGUCAGCGGUCAAAUGUCGGGGCUCAACCCCGGCCUGCCGUUGAAACUGGCGGCCUCGAGUGGGCGAGAAGUAUGCGGAAUGCGUGGUGUAGCGGUGAAAUGCAGAGAGAUCACGCAGAACUCCGAUUGCGAGGGCAGCAUACCGGCGCCCGACUGACGCUGAGGCACGAAAGCGUGGGUAUCGAACAGGAUUAGAUACCCUUGUAGUC
RNAcentral lists this ribosomal RNA (460 nucleotides) under uncultured bacterium. Its description in RNAcentral is "partial 16S ribosomal RNA". It matches the Rfam family "Bacterial small subunit ribosomal RNA", at positions 338 to 795 of the family's 1533-position model. The record is from RNAcentral.